CGGAGGGGCUAGCGUUGUUCGGAAUUACUGGGCGUAAAGCGCACGUAGGCGGUCUUUUAAGUCAGAGGUGAAAGCCCGGGGCUCAACUCCGGAAUUGCCUUUGAAACUGGGAGACUUGAACAACGGGAGAGGUGAGUGGAAUUCCGAGUGUAGAGGUGAAAUUCGUAGAUAUUCGGAGGAACACCAGUGGCGAAGGCGGCUCACUGGACCGUUGUUGACGCUGAGGUGCGAAAAGCGUGGGGAGCAAAACAGGAUU
Molecule: ribosomal RNA, 256 nt
Filed under: uncultured bacterium
Lineage: Bacteria
Description: partial 16S ribosomal RNA
Rfam family: Bacterial small subunit ribosomal RNA
Source: RNAcentral